Molecule: non-coding RNA, 17005 nt
Organism: Cinara cedri
Lineage: Eukaryota; Metazoa; Arthropoda; Insecta; Hemiptera; Aphididae
Source: the annotation of a GenBank genome assembly
UAUUUUUCGAGCAUUGACGACUGUUCGGUCACGUAUAGAUAUACCCAUAUGCGCCUGUAGCCUGUUGUAUUUCGGCCGCCGUUGAACUCCGGUCGACCACAGAAUCGUGUAUAAUCUGCGCUUCUGACGCACGUCGAAACGUCAUUCAGACAAUUCCGUAGCGUUUUAUGAUUAUUUAAUAACGCAACGUUUUUGUGGUGUUUUGCGUUCAACACACGGCAAACGUGUUCGCUGGCCCAAAGCCCACCGGCGGCCACCAUUGCAUGAUCAGAACCUUGAAAGGUAAGUUUGACACAGCGGCGUCGCAGGACCUGAGCGAUCGUUACCCGUCUUGUUUUUACGUAUUUACAACUUAACGAAACGUACGAAAUGCGCUCCUCUCUGUAUAGUCUUCCCGCCCGUACAUAUUGAGUGUAACUCGUUUUAUACCCAGUGGGCCCCAUUUGUUCCGUACGUUCCGUAGGUGUCAAAUGAAACGCAAAUACCCUUUAUACGGUCGAUGAACGUGGUGCCCAUUGCUUGAACAGCAAAGUAUCCAUGGCACAGACCAGUAAUUGAUAACGUGUAUGGACGUCAACGAUCCUACUCUGUGGUCUGCACAAGCGCCACUAGACCACCGACUCGGGGGGUGCUGAAAUUAUAGACAAAUCAAACACCCAUGGGGGCUAUGCUUCUAUAAUCCCCUUUACAUGACUAACAAUAAUUAGCUACACCUUUCAUUUACAAUUUUGUAUGUACAAAUUUAUCGUGACAAUUUUAACAUUGUUUUUCACAAACACAUGAAACUUGUAUUUUGUUCUGCUCAUUAACCAUGAAAUACAUGGACAAAUAUUUUAUCAUUGCUAUGGAAAAACUAAUUGGGUUUUUUGGGAGUGCUGGUUUUAAACUUGGAGGUGCUAAAACACUCAUAGCAUCCCCUCCCCCAAGUUUCGCCUAUGAAUUGAUCUGGUUGUUUGACUGUGACCAGCAUAGAUAUCUAUGGUGGCCGCAUAAAUGCCACUAGAGCAUUAUUUCUGGGUGUGCUAAAUUUCUAUAUCAUUGACUUAUGGAGGCUUCACUCUCACACACCUAAUAUUGAUUAUCAACACUUACCUACAUAUUGCUUAGAAAUCCUUACCUGUAGUCAUUAAUAAUUGCUUUCAAAGUAAAAUUUUUCUAUAAAUAUGUAAUAAGAAUAUUAUUCUAAAAUUAUCGUCACAUGGCUAAUGUCUGCAUACUUUAUGAUUUAAGAUGUUCUUGCAGCCAAAUAAAAAUGAAACCAGUUUAUUAAUGUUUCAAUAUUUUUAUGUCAUAUUGGAAAAAAAAAAAUGUUUUUGCAACAGUUUGAUAAACUGUUAGUAGUAUUAAAAUGUAUAAUUAAUACUUAAAAAACUAUACUAUACGUACCUAUGUAUGAUGAGUUACUGAUCAAAUUACCUACCAACCCAAUAACCUAACCUAACCUACCACGUUAAAUGUAAGUAAAAAGACUAUAAGUAGGAUUCAAGACUUCAAGUAUUUGCUUAUUUUUUUUGGCCUAACAUAAAAUCUAGUAGAGUGUUAUGGAAACUCAUGUCUUAAUGAUCUCAAAUAUGAAAUUUGAAAAUGCUUUAUUUAGCCUAAUUCAAUUUUUUUGUUAAAACAUUUUUUUUUUUUUAAGUUUUUUCUAAUCAUUUUUGGUUUUUUGCAUAUUUCUGCUUAUGACAUGCUUAACAGACAUUUUCCUGGAAAUUUGAAUUUAUUUCUGUUUUGUAAUUUUUUGUUUAUGGUAAAGCUAUAACUAAAAAUGAUUUAAGAAUUAUUUGAAAUAGAUAAUUUAAGAAAACGUAAGAUUAUUCAAUAUAAUUGAGAAGGUAAGAAACAUUUUAAAAUACAUUUUUUUUGAUAAAAUUAAUUAAUUUUUCUUCGGUUAAAUAUUUAAAAUUUAUUUUCCAAAAAAUCUACUUUAAGUUUAAUAAAGAAGUCAAAAUGUUCUCAAAAAUGCUAAAAAAAUUUGAAUUUUUUAAAUGUUUAUAAUGAAGUAUUUAAACAAUUUUUUCAGCACUUAUUUUGAUGAUUAAAAAUGCUAUAAGCUCCAAACCCUGAGUAUGGUUUAUAAGUAUUCUUAGAAAAUUCAUAGUGUUAAUAUCUGGUUAAUACACUCCCCAGAAGUAAAUUAAUGCUAAUCCAUAAUAGAUUUUAAUGUCUAAUAUAGAUUAAAUAUUGUAAUUCCAAAAUUGUUUCUACUUAUACAAAAAUACAAAAGGAUACAGCCACAUACUUAUGUCCACGAUUUUGGUGCUUUAUAACCAUGAGUUUAUCUAAUGUGUUAGCAGAGCUAAAAAAUAUUUAAAUUUGAUAUAGUAGACGUAUAGCAACAAAAUUUAAGAGGCAAGGAACAUUGUCUUUUAUUAAUUAUUUUAAUUAUAUAUCAAAUAAUUAAUUAUUAUUAAUUUAAAAGGUUAGUAACAUGGUUGAAAAAAAAAUAACAAAAACUAUGCGUUGUACUGGGUGAGUAGGGUGUCUAUACAGUCCAACAAUGAACUAAGUAACUAGUUCCUAUAGUAACUACUAUUUAUUAUUGGUACCAUUGUUAAAACUAUUAUAACCCUUACACUUAUUAAUUUUUCUUGUUUUGUUUGUUUUAACUUUGUUUUACUGAAUACUAUGACCAAGGUAACUUCUAAAUCGACAAAAAUAAUUUGAUUUUAUUACCAAUAUACCAAUCACGCUAAAUAAUAUUUUUUCAAAUAUAAAUAUUAACUAUUUUGCUAUGAAAUCUUGAUUUUUUUUUUAAUUUGGGCUAAAAUAACAUAUUCCAAAAAAAAUUAACUUUUAAUAUAAGUUAUAAUUCAUAUAAUUUAGUGUAAGUACUAUUUUUUAAGCACUUAUAUGUUAAUGGGAACCUCAGCUUCCAUUACCCCUGCCCCUGUCUGUAUUAAUCGCCAUAUCAAAAAUCCUUUUGGUAAAGUUCAAAACCGGGUUUUGUCAUUUACUAACACUCAAACCAAAUAAUUCCAAAAAUUCAAUAUCCAAACCAUAAUUGAUAAAUUUCAAAAUCAAAACUGUUAAAAUUAAUAUAGGUUUAAAGUUUUAAAUAUUCAACUAAUUUUGCAAAUUAUUUGCAACUAGUGUUUACAAUUGAUAAUCAAGUAUUAAGUAAAAAAAUAUUUUAACAUCUAUAAAUUAUAUUUCCGAAAAUAAUUUGUGUUAGAUAUUAUUGUUAUGUGUAAAUGGCUGAUUAGAUUGAAUCAAAUUUGUUUAGGAUUGUAGACACUUUCUCAUUUAGUAUAAGUGUUCAGCUGAGCAGUAAAAUGAGUGUUUUAACCAAGUAUUCAGCAGGUGUAAACUAGGCUAUUUGCCACUUGUCUGUCUAGUUAAAACAUGUUUAAAAACAGUUUUACAAAACUGAAACUAAAUAAUUUCAAAACCCAAACUAAAAUUAUUUAAGUUGAUUCAAGUGGAUUAAAGAUCCGCCUUUGGGCAUGUUUGAAAAAUAGAAUUGCUAAAAUUUCAUACUAUACCAUAAUAUAGCGUCUUUCUUUAGUUUUUACUAGAAAUUUAAUAAAAUUCAAAGAGACUUUACUAACUUGGUUUAUCAAUUUAUUUCACCUAUCAAGUGUAUUUUUUUUUCUCAUUUUAUGAUGUUUAUUCACAGUCUGAACAGAAAAGUUGUUUUCCAGUAGUGAAAUUGUAUUCUUUUAAUUCUGAAAUUCUUAAAUAAAUUAUUGUGUUUGUUUUUAUUUUAGUAAGUGAUACAAUGGAUAAUGGCUCAUUUAAUAGCAUUGUAGAUAUUUCUACAUGAGAAAACAUAGCCAAUUACCCGUGUUAAUUUCAUUACAUGUUUACCUAAAUUAUUAUUUUUAUCAUACUUUGAGUUAUGUCUGAUAUAGGCAAUGCUAAAGAUAAACCGUAGCCAAUAUUUACUCAUUCCAUUUUAUCAUUAUGUGAUUGUUUAACAAAACUAGUAUGACUAAAAUAUGACAAUAGAUUUGCUGAUGUUACUAUUAAGAAUCAAUUAUUGAAAUGGUUAUUAGUGCAUGUCAGUUAUACAUAAUAAAAAUAACAUAAGUAUAAUAGGUACAUAAUUAAGACUUGCAUUUAUAAUAGAUUUAAAAAAUAAAUAUAGAUGAUAAAAAACAAAUGGAAACAUGAAACAUUAUUGAUCUCUAGCUAUUUACACACCAUACGACAUUUACCCAUACUAAUACUAGGUGUACCUACAAUAAAUCAUAAGUCACAAGAACAGACAUUUUACUUGACGAGAUACAAUUUUGGACACCUUAGAUCAUAUUGUAGGCACUUACAUUAUGAUCCAAGUUAAAUACAUAUAAAAUCACAGGUCAAAUGUUAAUAUAAAUACACGAUAAAACAAAACAAGAUAGUAAUAUACUGCCCUGCUAAGCAAAAGUCCCAUAAUUCAAAAGAAAAAAAAACAGAGUUAGCUAUGGAAUCUGAUUGAUACACCAAUUUUAAAUAUUUUCUUUAGAGAAAAAAAACCCUGAAAUUAAAUAAAUAGGCUAAAAACACAAUAUAUGUGUGAUUUAUUCAUUUCUGUGUUCUAUUUUAGCUGCAGUGUUAUUGCCUAGCAUUUUUUUUAAGUAACUGCAUUGUGUUUUAAUUGCUACUAAAUUAUUAUUUCCUUAUUUAUUUUAUUUUAUAACAUCUGAACAGGAAAUAUUGUAUGUACAAGUGAUGGACACAAUCAUUUUGAUGAUACUACAAUACAAAAUACAAUAUAGAACAUUUAGAAAAUUUAUUAUUUUGUUAUGUUAAGAUUAUUGUUAGGAAAUCAUGAAUUAUUUUUAUUUAUGGUUAGAUUAUAAAUCACAACAAAAAAUAAACAAACCCACCGUGUUUUAUUAAAAGAUAUGUGAUUAUAAAAACUGUUUGAGGUAAAUUUAUUUUGUACACAUAAUGUAAUUUUUAAGAAUAAUAUUCAGAGCUUGAAUUUUUAAAGAAAAAAAUAUAUGAAAAUAUUCCAAAACUAAUUAACUUUAAUAUUGACAAUUUAAUUUGUAAAAAGCUAUAUAAUAUAAUCAUAUAUUAUGUAAAAUCUUUUUUAAUAAAAAUUUAUCUAAAGAAAAUAUUACAAUAUUAUUAUGACAUUUUUCUUUGGUAAAUAUAAGUAUAUAGGACUUAGAUUGCUAAGGGAUAACAUAAAUGUAACUUUAAUUUACAUAAUAAGUUAAUAAUACUGUUAUUAUUACUUCAUUGCAUUCCUGUCGAAAAUACUAUAUAUUAAUGUGGUAGGAUAUGUUUUAUACUAAAUUAAAUAUAAUAUAAAAAAAUAAAGGUAUAAGAGUAUGAAAAAUACAAACAUGCAUUUAUCUCAAAACUGCUUGGUAAUUUCCCUACUCAUGCCAAUCUCUAUAUUUUAUUUGUAUUUUCUCAGUCAUCAAACUAUUAUACAAUAUUUGUAUAGAUUGUAGAUUUUAAUUAAAUAAAUAAAAAAAAAUAAAUCUCAAAACUAAUAUAUUUAGCACUUUUUCUUAGUAAGACAGUAUAGGUUUCUAUUGAAAAAUCAAAAUUAACAUGUGGUCUCACUAGUUUUGUUCUAUCCUAGAAAUAAGAUUUCAGAGAUUAAUAAAUGUAUUUUAAUAAUAUAAGAUAUUUUAAUCAAGGAGACUCUGAAACACUGAUCCCGUGUGCUAUCUGAUCUUUUAGCCAUUUACUUGUUUGAGUUGCAGUAUUUUAAAUUUGAAAAAUAGUUUUAUUGAAAAGAAUAAAAUUGUGUAUACUUUGUUUUGUUACUUAGUAGUGGGUAUUUUCAUUGACAACAUACCUGUGUGUAUUUGAGUGGGUGCAACAUUUAAAUACUUCAUAAAAGUAAAAUAUAAAUUUAUAUUUAAAAAUUGGAAAUUUAAACAGAGACCUUAAAAAUAUUUACAAUUUUGAGAACUGAAAGAAAAAAUGUAUUUUUAAUUUUUAAUUUUUUUUUAUUAAAAGAAUAUUUACAAUCUAUGCUACAAGGCAUAAGUCAAUUAGAGAAUAUAAUAUACAACAAUGAUUACACGAGGAGGGAGGCCAUCUAGUGGCAGAAUUUAUUUAUUUUUUUUAAUUUAAAAAAUUAUAAACUCUAUACAUGUGUACAAUAAGCAAAAUGUGUGUUUUAAUGUAGAGUGGUUUGAAAAACGUUUAUAAUCUUAAUUCUUAACCUCUUAAUAAAUUAUAAUAUUAUAGUAUUAUACAGAAUUCAUUCUAUAAUCUAUGUAUUCAAAUAGGUAGCUGAUUUUUAAGAUAAAAAUAGAAAUUCAAGAAUAAAUUAACAAUAGUAUUUUACCAUAGAAUAAAAAUUUUUUCGUGUCUAUUUAAAUGAAUAAAAUCUUGAUAAGUAAAAAGUUUGCAACAUUAUAUUUAUAAUUAUAUCUUGGUUUUUAUAUAUUAAAUUAGUUUUUAUUGUGGACUAAAAUGUAAACAUAUUAAUAUAACAAAUAUAAUAUGUGGAAAGGAUUAUAGUUUACUAAUUUUAUAAAAUUAAAAUCACUUCUAUAUAUUAGAAUCAGUAUUAAUAUUUUUAGAGCUCUUUGUAAAAAAUUAUGUAUAAAAUGUUCUACACAUUAAGAAAAGAACUCAUAUUAAAUAAAGAUUAUAAAUAUAAAGUAUAUAUUUAUAAAAAAAAUUCAAAUAUAGUCAUUUUUUUAAGCACCUAAUUAUAGUUCAACUAUACAAAUAGGUAAAAAAUUUAAGUUAUCUUGUUUAUAAAAUUCAUGGAUUCUUAGAUUCUUUCUAUUGAUUGUCACCCUGACUAAUUCUUAUUUAUUUUAAACAUUCAAAUUAAUAUUAUGUAAUCUUUUUGAAAAUGUAUGCAAAAAAAAAAAAAAAAAUACAAAUAACAAAAACACACAAUUUAAUUUAAUAAGUGUAACUGCGUAACAAUGUAAAUGUUGCAUAUUUAUAUUAUAAAAUUGGUCAGUUAAGAAGUUGAUUGUUUUGGCUUUACCAUUUAAGAAUGUAUUUAUAUCAUUCUACUUUAUUUUUGCAGGAAGAAUGGAUCUUUUGAUAUAAAUUUGUCUUAGCUAAGGAUGGACAUAAAUUGGAAUGAAUUUUAUGAAAUAUUCUUCCAAAACAGCAGAUUGUUCAUAUAAUAUUCUAGCACAUAAAUCCUUUAAUGUUAACCAUCUAGAUGGGACAUAUUUUAUAAACUUUUUGGUAGGGACAUUUAAUUUAGUUUUAAUGCUUGUAUAAUAUUCUUCUCUACUUGGGAAAUCUAUCAAAAUAAUGAAAGCUAGAAAAAUAGAAAUUAUAUAAUUCUUGAAGUUUUUCUAAAACCUCAAUAAACACAUUGUGCAUUGUGUAUAAUUUACCAAUAUGCCCAUCAAAUUAUACUUUGUAAGGUUUGAAAAUUCUUGAUUUAUUAUUAAUUUUAUUUCGUUAACAUAUUUACCAAAGAUAUAUUAGCAUUAUUCAAUGCUAUCUAAAUAUGUUGACAAAUACAAAUGAUGUGAUAAUAAUUAUAAUAUGUACAUAAGAUAACAAAAUUGAAAACUGAUAAUAAUAUUUAUUAAAAUAGCAAGUUUUAGUGACUUUUUGAUUAAAGGGAAUUAUUAGUAGCUAUGUUUAAACACUGAAACAAAUUAAUAGCUAGAUUAGCAUAUUGGAUAGAAAUACCAGAACAAACAAAAGGUGCGUGUGAUCUGCCUAAUAAAAAUUUGUUGAUAUGUUUGUUAUAUCACUUUAAUAUUACAAAAAAAAAAAAUCAAAAUUACAAAAAUUAUUAUAAAUUUAAAAUUUAAAUGAGUAAAUAGAAUAAAAAUAAUAAAACAUAUAAAAUCAAGCAUUUACGUAGUAGCCGUACCUCCAUACCAUAUUUAUUUAUUUAUUCAGCCGAUUACAAUUUAUUAAUUACAAUGAAUUACAUUAAUAAUAAUAGCUGAUAUAUAUAUACAAACUGAGCUAUAGCUCGUAUUUGGUGUAUGGAGUUCAUGAAUAUUAUUCAGUAUAAAAUAAUUAUUGAUGUAGUAGAUAUGUAUACGAUUAAAAUACAACUUAAUUAAAUAAAAGUACCGGAGAUGGUUUUUUUUUUUUUUUUUUUGUAACAUAAUCUAAAUUUGAAAUUAAUCAGCGUUAGAUAAGGAAAGAUAUUAUUUUUAAACAUACUGACAAUUUAUAAUUUUAUUAGUACACACAUUCUCAUCAAAUUCAUAAACUAUUUUAUUGAUUGCUUUUUUUUAUUACUCUUUACAUCGGUAUUUAAAUUGUGGAAUAUAGUUUUACCCAUGCUAUAGCUGGAGGUUCUUAUACUAGUUAAUAAUGUUAAUGACGUUUUAAUGUAUUUUCCUAUUUUUCUGUCUAUUUUAUCCGUACCGUUAAGUGAGUGGUUUUUGAAUGGAUUUUAUUAAAAAAUUGCCUAAUGUAUAAUUAUAAAUAAUAAUAAUUAUAUUUUAUCUACUUGGGAAAAAAUAAUUUCCACUUUCAUAAUAGUAAUUUGAUAGUACAUGAGUUAUACAUAUAGAAUAUCAUGAACAAUAGUUAUUUGAUGACUAAAUAAAAGUUAAAUUAUGGCACUUGAAGUUGGCACUCCGACUUCGUCCGAUCAGAUGGAAAUUGGUGUUAGUAUUUUACAACAAUAUGCAACACCAAUAAAGGAAUGUGAUAUCAAAAACAAGUUUGGAAUGCAACGCCAGUAAAAGAUAGUUGCAACGUAUUUUUGACAGUAGUAUAAUGAAUUUGGAGUGCUUACUUAGUUUUUACUUACUCCAUUUUUAUAAAUAAAAACAUAUCGUCGAGAAUGUCAUGUCCCAUUGAGAAACCCGGUAGUGGCCGGUACAAUAUUAAUACCUAAUAGAUAAACGAAUAACGACAGAUAACGCAUGACGCAAUUUACGAAAUAGAAAUUCCUAAAAUCAUGAUAACGUUAUUCGACUUGGUAUUAUGUGGUGAAAAAAAAGAACAUUUAAUUUUUAUAAAAAGCAACUACAAAAUUUACAAAAUAAUUAAAUAGAUUUCAGUUGAUUGUUUAACUAGUUUUUAUUAAAAAAAAUCACUACUAUGUUCUUAAAUAAAUUGUCUUCAGUAAAACGUUGAGGAUUUGAGCUCAAAAUAUUUAUGUACACAAAAAAUAAUCGUUAUACGUCCACUGAAGUUAUUUGGUGUAUCUUAUACAUGAAUAAUUAUCUAAAUUACCAUUACAACUUAUUAAAUCGUCAUCGUCAUCAUCAUCAGAAUGGCAUUUAGAAGGAUACUUAUGACAUGUGCGGCCACUGUUGUAGGUGGGUAAUGGGGAAGGUGAGGUUUAUAAAGUUAUUUAAUUUAUAUCUGUAACCGACGAUAAACUUUAUUAAUAACGUAAACCAAUUCGGAGUGAAGUUCGGUUUUACAUGUUUUAAAAUGCCGUAAUAUUUAUGAUUUUCGUCAAAAUUUGAUAUUAAAAUUUAUAAAAAAAAAAAAAAUACUACAUGAAGCUCAAAUUUGUUUUAACCACAAAUCACAACAUUUGAAUAGGGUAUUUCUCCGUGAAAUGAAAAUGUUUAGGAAUUGUAAAAAAACUGUUUUUAGAUAUCAACAUCAAAUUUAGAUGAAAACUGAAUAAGGGUUGAAUUAUUAAACUACCUUAUAAAAAAACAAAUUUACUAUAAUAUUGAUUAUUUUAUGAAGGAAUAAACGUGUUUGAGAUAUGGCCUUUUCCAAUGGUUUGCAAAUUUACAUUGAUUAUAAUUGCGAAUCUAAAUUGUGUACCAUAUAAAAUUAAAUAAUAAUUCGUAUAAAAUACUUUAUGCAUUCUUUUUAAUAAUUUUAUUUAUAAACUACAAAACAGUAAUAAAAAAAAAGUAUGUAACAUUUAUAACUUUUUAGUUCAACAAAAAAAUAUCGUUUCUUUUCAGUACCUACAUUUAAAAAAAAAAUAUGUAUAUAGUUUAUCUUUUGACUGGGUACUAAAUAUUUAAAAAAAACAAUAAAAAACUUUUUUAUAUUUAUUAGAAACCUUCGUCAGAGUUAAUAAAUAAUAUAAAUAAAGAUAUUUAAAUAUUUUGGAGAAAUGACCUUUUCGAGAGCACACGUUAAAUUUAGACCAUAACGAAUUUUCGUAGGUAUCGUAGGAAAUAUGCAUUAUUAUUAGUUAAACACGUUUAUCACAUAAAACUAGUUUUUAAUAAGUAUGGAGAAAUGACUGAUUUAUUUAUGGAACCUCCUGUUAACUUUUCAAGCAUUUCUGUUUAGUCUAAUAAUUUUAUCCACAAAGUACCUACUAAAUAAAAAUUGUGUACAAAACUUGCAAAAUUAAAAUGUUUAUAAUCAGCUCAAAAAUGAAUCAAAUAUUUUGAAAAUUUGACCACGUCCAGAAAAAACAAUUUUAUAAGUUUUCUAUCAAAAUUUCAAGUCUUUAUGAUUAUAUUAAAGUGAAUUACAUUCAAAAAACAAAAUUGAAGAAAAUAAAAGAAUUAUUUUCCUUCAUUUUUCCCAUACUUUCUGUUAUUUUUAGUCGAUUUUGCUCAAUCAUUAAAACAAAAAAAAUAAUCAAAAAACCUUUUUCUUGUUUACCAACUAGAUUAAAAAUUCAACAAAAAUGAUCUUUUGACGUUUAUCUAUUGGGGUAAUAUUUAUAAUAGAAAAUAUAAGCCACACAAAUUUAAAAUAAUGAAAUUGUGUGCCGUAAAAUGGCAAAAAUCGUAUAAUUCGCCCUUUUUGAUUUUUCCAAAUUAUGAAAAUAACUUUAGAUAUCAAAAACCACUUACAUUACCAGUGGCGAAACAUUAUAAGGAACAAAAUCGAUCACUUGUCAUUUUUGAAUUGGAGCAAUAUAUCUAGUAGAAAACACUGUGUUAACAUAAUAAAAACAAUGAAAACGGCAACAAAGCGGCGCGCCGUAAAUAUUUACCGUUUUACCAAUAAUUUUCUUUGGGGGUUUUUCCAAUUUUUUCAAAAACUUCUCGAAAAAUUACCUUUUCGAUGCAAUCAAAGAGAGAAAAUUCUCUUUCGGAAAAGGUACUGCAGUCAGUAGCAGAUUUUCAACAUUUUUCUGGAUGGGGCCCUGAAAAAUCAUAUGUAUUUAAAAGGUAUUUCUGUUAAUAGAUGCCCCUUUUUUUGGACGAUAUUUUAUUGAAAUUAUAUCGGUGUCUGGAGGGGAUGUCCAGUCCGUCUGGAUCCCGCCAAUCCGUAAAUCCGCCACUGGCUACUGUCUAUAUUUCGAAGCAAGUUUUCUGAUAGAAAAGUUGUUUACAGACAGAAAAAAAAAUUACAAACAUCACGGUAAAACUAAUAGAUCCCUCGCUACGCUCCGAUUCAAAUUCAUCCAUCAUCACCGAUAUUAAAUGAAACACAUUUUCGUAUACAAAUUUAUUUUUCUAUUAUUAUUAUUGUAAAAAAGAAGGCGUUUGUCUUGAAAUCCGAACACUACUAAGUGUGUACAACUACUAUUAGUUAAAUGAACUAAUAUUAAUAGUGGAUGCAUAUUUUAAUUGUAUACAUCAUUAGUUUAAUUGCAAAUUCAGUAUAAUAAUUGAAAUUUCAGUUUUUGGAAGAAAAAUUUAGCCCGCAGGAGGAGCAGCUGCUCACCCUGCCCCUCCCGUGAGCCUUUAAUGCAUUUAAUGUGUUAAUUAUUUUGAAAAUUUGUUAAAAUACUUAUAUAUAUUUAUAGAAUAGAUACUGUAUCAAAGUUGUAUUUUUUUUGUUUUUUUUUUUAAUUAUUGAAUUUGUUCUACUGCAAUAUAGGUAAUGCCUAACUUAUUUUAGUAUAAUUUAUUAUAAAAUAAACAUAUAUUAUAUUUGUAUACAAAGUGUUCUAUUUAAUUGCCAUACACGAUAUUUCGAAAAGUAAUCAAUUUUUACAUCACAUUUUUUUUUUUUUUUUUUUUUACAAUUUAAUGAACAAGCUGCUCUAAAAAUUUUAAUUAAUAUUUUAUUUUGGUCAUCCUUAUUUUUGGGGAUUUUAGGUACGAUUUCCUACUGUCGAUUAUUAAAUUACAACGCAUAUUAAAAAUUCCAUAAAUGGAUGGAGUAUUAAUUUAAAUUAAUUUCGAUGUCGAAAUUCUUGAUUCCCGUCAAUCCGUUAACGAGUUAUUUCUCUUUUAAGUUUGGAUACGUUUGGAUAUAUACAGAGUGAUCAACAUAAAACAUUUUAUGAUUUCGCAAAAAAAAAUUAAUUUUUUCAAAUUAUGUCGAAAUAGUUUUGUACAAUACUCUGAAAAAACAAAAGCCUGAAGUCGCCGGGGUAUUACUGAUGUCAAUUUUAUUUUUCGUAAAUAAUAUUAUCAAAUAAAAUUAUUAUUUUUUUUUUAAAUCAUUAAUAUUACGUCAAUAAAUACAUGAUAUGUAAAAUAAAUUGUGGGCCACUAUUGUAGCUGAGAAGUUAGGAAAGUAGUGAAGUGGGAAAGCAAUGUAUAUCUGUAUCCAGCGAUUAACCAUUGCCAACAAAAAAACGAUUCUGAGUGGAGUUUGGUUGAUAGUGUUGCUUUGUCAACAAUAUAUUAUAUACGUCAUACUAUGGUAAAAUAAUAUGCUUUAAACAUGUUCAUUGUAUCUAUUUUCCCGUUUUUCUUGCGUUUCUUCCCUGUUUUCCCAUGUUUUUCCCAGUUUUUCCCAUUUAUCAACUAGGUACUUGGAAAACAAAAGAUGACCACCCUAAAGUACCACUCCAAUCAGAUUUGCUCUCAGAAAAAGGACUAUUAUUGUAAAUCGGAGUAAAAUUGCUGGUAGAAAAGUUGUUCACAGGAGAAAAACACCGUAAUAUUCGUUUAUGCAACACGAUUUUAGAAAUUUAAUAAACUUACACCGCGAGUUUCCUAAGUAUAUUUGUUCAUUUUUGUUUGUAACAUUUUAACUAUCAUAAUUUGUAAAAUAUUAAAACUAUCUUGAUCAAGAAGACUUGGAUAACAUAUUAAGAAGGAAUUAUUUUAUUUACAAAAUGGUAAACUAAGUAUGUAGGUACUUUAAUGUAUUGUGCUGUUAUAAGAAAAACGUUGUAAUUUCUUUUUAUUGACGUUGUUUAAUGUUGCAAAAUAAUGACACCUACUAAUUUCGAACGGACAAAGUCAGAGUGUCAACUUUACGGAAAUGCCUCUUUUUAUAUAUCUUUUUUACUUUUAUAACAAUAUGCACAUUUAAUUUUGUUACUCAUAAUGUCACAAUGUACAAAAAAAAAAAAAAACCUAUUGUUCAAGAUAUUAUUGAAAGUAUGUAAGAUAGAAAAAAAAAUCACGUAGUUAUUUCACGUAUCACGUUAACAGAGAGCUAGCAACUGAUUAUUGUAUUAUUGUAACUUUUGAAUUGUUUCAAAUUGUUGAAUUGGCUAAAUGAUUAUGUCAAGGUCAAGUAAUAAUCAUGCGUAUUGUAGAUAUUUUUUUAUUUUUUUUUAAACAAGUGUUGGUCGAACACCACUCCCAGGUAGACAGUAGAUUGCACGUAACAAUGGUACCCAAAUGACAAAUUACAUAAAACUUAUUUUCCAACUAUAGAAUUUUAUUAGGGUACUAUUACCAACUACAAUCAAUUUUUUUUGAAAUCUAUAAGAAAAACGAUUUCUACCCUGUUACCGUGUCCAUUCAUUCACAUAUUUUCUGGUUGUAUUGUGUGUAAAUUGCACAUUGUUAUGAAUACCUACAACAUUUUAUAUUUUUUAAUUAAAUAAAAAAUAGGAAAAAUUGAAAUUGGAAAAAAGGUUUAAUGAUUUCUGUGAUAAGUAGCAUUUAUAAUUGUAUACUUUUUAUGUGCUAAUAGUCUUCCGCAAAAUGUAUUAACUGUUCGAGUUACAGAUACAAGGUAAGAGUUUAUAGGUAAUAAUUAAUUUGAAAUUCAUAGUUUAUAGGUAGCAUGUAUAUACGUAUACACAGUUCCGGUUUUAAAACUGCUUGUUUUCAAUUAAAUUUGUGUCAAUUUGAUCUAUUUUGUAUAAUUCUGGGCUGGUGUCAAUAUUAAAACGCGGUGGGCCGAUACAUUCCCUAUCCGGCGCUGCAUGCAUAGGUAUGGAUUAAAUCGUAUUUACGAAUGUAGGCACCAAAAUUGUAAACACUGUGUGCCUAUUUUACUUACUUAUCUUUAUUCUAUAUUAUGCUAUUUAUAUAAUGUUAUUAUUACUAUGUGGUUGGAUGAUUACAGAUGCGGCGUGAAUGUAGUUUUAACGGUUCACUGAACCGCCAAAAAUUUGGGAUGGGUGGGUGUUGACACCAUAAUCUAACUAAAGUUACUCUCUUGAGGACAUACUGCUUCCCGUAAUACGAUUCUAGAAACCGUUUUGCCCAGAAAAGCUACAGGUGCCUACGCUUUCCAUAUUUAUAGUAGAUAAUUACCAAAAUUUCAUAAUUCAUUGAGAAGAACGUUAUCUGUGCCAUAGCGUUUUCUUUUUUUCGAGCGUUUAACACGUAAUAAUUUGUGUACUUAGGUAGUUAGGUACCUGACCAGUAUUCAUUCAAAUCUAUGCGAAUUUUGUGUGAUUCAUACACAAACAGCUAUAAAACACACCUACAUCUGUUGUAUUGAUCUAAUAAUUUUAAAUUAUUCAUUUCGAACAUAAUACUUUAUGAAUACCUAUAACUUGCCAAUAAUCAGUAGUUGAAGGUUUUUAACUGUCAUCAAAGUAGGUAGUCCUAUAAAAAUCCAUUUAUUGCUGUAUGCUUUGUUUGGUAUGGGAUUUCUAAAACUGAAGGUGAGAACUCCAUUCUUUGUUCAAAUUACUAUUCUAAAAGUAAGCGGCCGAUUAUUUCACAUAUUUACCUAUUAAAAAAAAAACAGUAACAUACAUACAUAUACAGUUAGAUAUAUUUAAUUGACAAUUAUUAAUAACAAAUACUAAUUUGAAAUCUAUUAUCGACAUUGUAAUAGUUUUCAAAACGUCUGUUUUUAUUUUUAUUUAUAAGUUAUACGGCGGCGACGGCUUGUCCGGGUUCUAGUCACCAAGGCCAUUGAAAAACGACGAAAUGCCAUCAAGUGUUACGUAUUGUUAUACCUCUUGAAUACUGUCCGAGGACAUGACGUAAGUUUUUUGAUAAAAAUAAUUCGCAAAAAAAAUAUACCUACUGUAUAGUUUUAAUAUUAAAAAUAAUCGUAUCUUCUGAACUAUACAUACAGAGAACUAAACAUAAAGAGCUUAAGUUUGAUAAUCGGGAUUUUAUAGAUUUCAUAGAUAAAUCAUUGUGGAUCGAUUAUGAUUUGCAGGUAAACACGCGGUUAUGGUCGAAAAUGUUUGGAAUUUUGAUGUUUCCUGGUGGUAACUGAUAACAGUGAUGGCACGUCGGCGGGUGACCUCAUCAAACUUCAAACGCGCAAAAAAAAAAAAUAUAAUAAUUAUACAGUAACGGAAAAAUCGGAAAAAUAAUAAUUAAAUUAUAAUUCUAUAUUCUAUAUAGAUCCUUCUAUUAUAGUUCCUGUGUACCUAUUAUUUUUUUUAUUUUAAAAUCCUGAUUAUCAAACUUAAUCAUCGGUUUUGAUAAUAUUUUUGUUACUCCGUAAAUUAGACAGUUUCAUAAUGCACUUGUUCCCCUAUUACUUACCGAUCGUGAUUUGUGGUUUUGCACAACGAAUAUUGGGGUCUAUUGUCGUUUAAAAAUCCGACACGAGUUCGCACUCAAGCUGACGAACAAAUCGACUAUGUUAGACUGGGAAUAAUUGGUUUUUUUUGUUCUAUGCAAAUAAAAAUAACAUUAUUGAAUAUUAUUAUUUUUCCGAUUUAUACUGCCCUCCUCUCUCCCCCCCGGGUCAGAGAAUGCCAAAUUGACGUUAAUGGAAAGGAACGGUCCCCACCACCCGUUAUAAAACUAACCUGGCAACAGCAAUACCUACUAUAAAACAGAAAAAAAAAUUGCCACAAGGAAUGGCAAAUAGUGCACAAUAAUGGACGCUCAACGAAAUUUUGGUAAACUCUCCAACGUUUUCCCGGACGGUUGUCUAAUAAUUAUAUCAUUUAAAAGUGUACGCAAAAUUAUAAUACGCUCAUGUUAUUUGUUAUUUUAAAACGCGAUAUUAUUAUAAAAAAAAACAUAAGAAGGCUAAUAUGUCAAUCAGUUACUUAUUUUGUAUUAUUCAUGAACGAUUCUCUUAGGUACUAUAUAUUGCAUUUUUUUUUUUUACGGUCGACGGCCCGCGAACGUACGUUAACCAAUUUAAUUAAUUGAAGAUCCAGUGAAGUUAUCACGUUGAGAACACGUUGUAAAAAUACCAUUAAUUCUCGUCGUCCCCUCAAAGUACUAACGGCAGCCAUUUUGAUAUGAAUAUUGAUAUAGUUUUUAAUUAAAUUUCCUCGUUUUGAAAAUUCAAACGCACCGUAUAAUAUCGAUAAUAGACGCGCGGUCAGCCGGUUGUCGACCACUGAUUUAUAUGAUUGAUUGACUGUUACGUACGGUAAGUUGCCUAUGUCAUGAUUUAACGGCGUUUAUUUUUUUAAGUAUGUUUAAAUUAUAAUAAUUCGUGAGUAGUAUAAUGUAAAUUCCCGGUAUAAAUUAUAUAUUUUAUGUAUUUAUAAUUUUUUUUUUUUUUUUGGUUAAAUUUAAAAAAUUUUCAAAGUGGCCAUUUGUAAAAGAUAUUAUUCUAUACAUUUUUAAUGUGCCAUAUUAUGUUCAUAUCCGGUAAACAGUUUAUUAGCAAUAAUAAUAUUUUUAAUUUCUAAUAUUUUCGAUUUCAGACGCAAUAAAUAAUUUGUAAUAGGUACAGAGUAAAAUGAAAACCUGCUUAUUGUUAAAAUAGUGUUAUUUAUACUAUCCGUAUUACGAUUGUGAUUACUUAUUAAGUAAUGUGCUAGUAAUUUAAUACAAUUUUUUUCACAAUUAAAAAUUAAAUCUUAUGUUACUAAACAACUUUUCGUCAGAUAUGUAUGUAUGUUAGAUUGAAAAUUAACACAGAUAUAAAAAAAACUCGGCUGGCCAACCUGCAUACUCACUUAAAACUGAUGUAAUAAUUAUACAUGGACGUAGCUGCAUAAUUUAAGAACAAAUUAGAGUUUGUAUGUAUUGAAAUAAAAUCAUCAUUAAUAUUUUAGAUUUUGUGCUAAGCAAGAUAAUUAUGUAUAGGUUUUACUAUGAUUUGUCCCAUUUUUAAAUUUUUUUUUUGUAUUUGUAUACAACUUAUCUACUAUACAUUUUGAUCUAAUUAAAAAAUGUCAAGUGACUUUGUAUUUCAG